GAUUCUGGCUCAGGAUGAACGCUAGCUACAGGCUUAACACAUGCAAGUCGAGGGGCAGCAUUGGAGUAGCAAUACUUCAGAUGGCGACCGGCGCACGGGUGAGUAACACGUAUCCAACCUGCCGCUUACUCGGGGAUAGCCUUUCGAAAGAAAGAUUAAUACCCGAUGGUAUAAAGAGUUCGCAUGUUCUCUUUAUUAAAGAAUUUCGGUAAGCGAUGGGGAUGCGUUCCAUUAGAUAGUUGGCGGGGUAACGGCCCACCAAGUCUACGAUGGAUAGGGGUUCUGAGAGGAAGGUCCCCCACAUUGGAACUGAGACACGGUCCAAACUCCUACGGGAGGCAGCAGUGAGGAAUAUUGGUCAAUGGACGAGAGUCUGAACCAGCCAAGUAGCGUGAAGGAUGACUGCCCUAUGGGUUGUAAACUUCUUUUAUAAGGGAAUAAAGUGAGGGACGUGUCCCUUUUUGUAUGUACCUUAUGAAUAAGGAUCGGCUAACUCCGUGCCAGCAGCUGC
This 511-nucleotide ribosomal RNA is filed under the name uncultured bacterium. RNAcentral describes it as "bacterial SSU rRNA". It matches the Rfam family "Bacterial small subunit ribosomal RNA", at positions 15 to 518 of the family's 1533-position model. The record is from RNAcentral.